RNAcentral lists this ribosomal RNA (467 nucleotides) under uncultured bacterium. Its description in RNAcentral is "partial 16S ribosomal RNA". It matches the Rfam family "Bacterial small subunit ribosomal RNA", at positions 28 to 507 of the family's 1533-position model. The record is from RNAcentral.
GACGAACGCUGGCGGCGUGCUUAACACAUGCAAGUCGAACGGAAAGGCCCUGCUUUUGUGGGGUGCUCGAGUGGCGAACGGGUGAGUAACACGUGAGUAACCUGCCCUUGACUUUGGGAUAACUUCAGGAAACUGGGGCUAAUACCGGAUAGGAGCUCCUGCUGCAUGGUGGGGGUUGGAAAGUUUCGGCGGUUGGGGAUGGACUCGCGGCUUAUCAGCUUGUUGGUGGGGUAGUGGCUUACCAAGGCUUUGACGGGUAGCCGGCCUGAGGGGGUGACCGGCCACAUUGGGCCUGAGUUACGGCCCAGACUCCUCCGGGAGGCAGCAGUGGGGAUUAUUGCCCAAUGGCGGAAGCCUGAUGCAGCAACGCCGCGUGCGGGAUGACGGCCUUCGGGUUGUAAACCGCUUUCGCCUGUGACGAAGCGUGAGUGACGGUAAUGGGUAAAGAAGCACCGGCUAACUACGUG